This 253-nucleotide ribosomal RNA is filed under the name uncultured bacterium. RNAcentral's name for it is "partial 16S ribosomal RNA". It matches the Rfam family "Bacterial small subunit ribosomal RNA", at positions 524 to 776 of the family's 1533-position model. The record is from RNAcentral.
CACGGGGGGAGCAAGCGUUGUUCGGAAUCACUGGGCGUAAAGGGCGUGUAGGCGGUCAAGUAAGUGGGAUGUGAAAUCCCUCGGCUCACCCGAGGACCUGCAUCCCAAACUGCUUGGCUUGAGUAUGGGAGAGGAUGAGGGAAUUCCUGGUGUGGCGGUGAAAUGCGUAGAUAUCAGGAGGAACACCGGUGGCGAAGGCGCUCAUCUGGCCCAAUACUGACGCUGAGGCGCGAAAGCUAGGGGAGCAAACGGG